CACGUAGGGGGCGAGCGUUGUCCGGAUUCAUUGGGCGUAAAGGGCGCGCAGGCGGCCCGGAAAGUCGGAUGUGAAAACUCGAGGCUCAACCUCGAGACGUCGGCGGAAACCAUCUGGCUAGAGUCCGGAAGAGGAGAGUGGAAUUCCUGGUGUAGCGGUGAAAUGCGUAGAUAUCUGGAGGAAUACCGGUGGCGAAGGCGGCAUCCUGGACCGGCAUUGACGCUGAGGAGCGAAAGCUAGGGGAGCAAACGGG
Molecule: ribosomal RNA, 253 nt
Filed under: uncultured bacterium
Lineage: Bacteria
Description: partial 16S ribosomal RNA
Rfam family: Bacterial small subunit ribosomal RNA
Source: RNAcentral